Molecule: transfer RNA, 64 nt
Filed under: Toxocara canis (dog roundworm)
Lineage: Eukaryota; Metazoa; Nematoda; Chromadorea; Rhabditida; Toxocaridae
Rfam family: tRNA
About the family: Transfer RNA (tRNA) molecules are approximately 80 nucleotides in length. Their secondary structure includes four short double-helical elements and three loops (D, anti-codon, and T loops).
Source: Rfam by way of RNAcentral
GCAGUAGGUCAGUGGUAGAGCUCCCGGCUCGUACGCGGGGGACUUGGGUUCGAAUCCCAGCUGC